This 417-nucleotide ribosomal RNA is filed under the name alpha proteobacterium SCGC AAA028-G17. RNAcentral's name for it is "bacterial SSU rRNA". It matches the Rfam family "Bacterial small subunit ribosomal RNA", at positions 353 to 787 of the family's 1533-position model. The record is from RNAcentral. Lineage: Bacteria; Pseudomonadati; Pseudomonadota; Alphaproteobacteria.
AGUGGNGAAUCUUGCACAAUGGAGGAAACUCUGAUGCAGCGAUGCCGCGUGAGUGAAGAAGGCCUUUGGGUUGUAAAGCUCUUUUGUAGGGGAAGAUAAUGACUGUACCCUAAGAAUAAGGUCCGGCUAACUUCGUGCCAGCAGCCGCGGUAAUACGAAGGGACCUAGCGUAGUUCGGAAUUACUGGGCGUAAAGCGCGCGUAGGCCGUUGAGUUAGUUAAUUGUGAAAUCCCAAAGCUUAACUUUGGAACUGCAAUUAAAACUGCUCGACUAGAGUUUGAUAGAGGAAAGCGGAAUACAUAGUGUAGAGGUGAAAUUCGUAGAUAUUAUGUAGAACACCAGUUGCGAAGGCGGCUUUCUGGAUCAACACUGACGCUGAGGCGCGAAAGUAUGGGUAGCAAAGAGGAUUAGAUACCC